Molecule: small RNA, 1304 nt
Filed under: Pan troglodytes (chimpanzee)
Lineage: Eukaryota; Metazoa; Chordata; Mammalia; Primates; Hominidae
Description: retained intron
Source: RNAcentral
GCCAGGGCCAGCAGCCUUCAGUCGGUAGCUGGCAGUAGAAGGAGGAGGAGCUCCGACUACAUUCUGUCCUUGUGCCUCUUGGACUUUUUUGUGUGUUUAGGUGCCCAAUGGGGAGCAAACUGACUUGCUGCCUGGGCCCCAGCGGGGGCCUCAACUGUGACUGCUGCAGGCCAGAUGUGGGACCCUGCCAUGAGUGUGAGAUUCCUGAGACUGUGGCAGCCGCAGCACCAGCAUCCACCACUGCAAAGCCUGCCAAAUUGGAUUUGAAAGCUAAGAAGGCCCAACUCAUGCAGUACCUCAACCUCCCGAAGACGCCGAAGAUGCCGAAGAUGCCCAAAGGUUUGGACGCCCACUCCAAGCGCUGGUUAAAAAUAAUAUGGAGACGGCACGGGAUUUGGCCUCUAGAAAAUAUAGGUCCCAUUGAAGAUGCGCAGGCGUCUGCACACGGCGGUGUGGAGGAGAAUAUGACAUCAGAUAUUGAAAUAUCUGAGGCCGAGCACGACCACCAUUUGGUCGAAGAUCUCAGUGAAAGCCUAUCUGUCUGUCUUGAAGACUUCAUGACAUCGGAUCUCAGUGAAAGCCUAUCUGUCUCUCUUGAAGACUUCAUGACAUCGGGUCUCAGUGAAAGCCAAUCUGUCUCUCUUGAAGACCUCAUGACACCAGAGAUGGCAAAGGAGAGAUAUGAAGAUUACCUCUGCUGGGUUAAGAUGGCACGGUCUCGGCUCAAUUAACCCAUCAGCUCCCAGGUUCAAGGACUUCUCCGGCUUUCGUGUUCCAAGUAGCUGGGAUUACGGACGCCUGCCAUCACGCCCAGCUUAAAUCAUUUUAUGAAUGCAUAUUUCCAUCUGGGUGAAAAAAAAAUCACAAGCCUCUCUCUCUUCCUACUGAGCACCUGUGAACAGUGACCUGCAGUUUGUGGCUGCAGCCAGUCCUCAUGGAGCCUGCUGUUCUUACAUUUCAUUCUGAGGCUCACAUUCUCAGUCACCAUGCAGGAGAACACCCGCCCCAUCCUGGGUCAUUACAGAGUGGGCCAACCCAUCUGCUGCAUCUGAGGAGCUGGGUCCAGCUUCUACGGUGAAUCCAUAUAUUUCUGUAUUUCCUGGAUAAGGAAGAGCAAAGGAGCUGAGCUGGUGGAGGAAGAAGAUCUAAUAUUAACUGACUCCUUAUUUUGUACCAGGUACUGUGCUAGUUACAUAUUUUAUCUCAUGUAAUUCUUACCAAAUAGUAAGGGGGUUGGGAGUGAUGGAGACAAUAUUGAUGUUAUCUCCAUUUUAGGGUGAGAAAAUGAAGGCUCAGAAAUGUUA